This 1052-nucleotide long non-coding RNA is filed under the name Homo sapiens (human). RNAcentral describes it as "non-protein coding TRAF3IP2-AS1:52". Lineage: Eukaryota; Metazoa; Chordata; Mammalia; Primates; Hominidae. The record is from RNAcentral.
GCGGACGCAGCCGGCCCUUCUCAGGUGCAUUUUAGUGGUUACCAGGUUGCCACGUAUUUGAAGUGGUGUGAGAGCUACUCGUUUGGAACCGUUGUGGAUUUUCAAAUAGGAAAAUCAAAAGGCCCAAAGAGACAGCUCACUGGUGACCAUGCUUUGGGAUUUUCAUAGUUUGAGUAAUUCCUAUGGGCUCUACCACCCAGCGAGUUAAAGAAGACAAGAUUCCACCCCCAGGGGGUUGUGGUUCUGGGAAUGUGAGCAGCUUGUUUUCAGGAGAUCUGCAUCUUGAUCUGGCCUGCUAUUAGGAUCUGUGGUGGUGGUGCCUGUCUGGUUUUAGUUGUUUCUUUUAUCUUACACAGAUUUUUGUAAGUUAUUUGCAUAUAAAGGUUUUUGAAAAGUGAAUGUUUUAUGGGGGCAUCUUGCUUAUACAAAGAAAAAUUAAAACUGUUUUAAAAUAAUCACUCGUGUUACACUUGUCUAUUCUAAAAUAAAUGAAAGUAUUAAUGUUGUUGUCUGGAAGGAAAAUGAAGACCAGGAAAAUAGCUAUGCUCUUAAUGUUUUAAAAUAAGGUAAUAUUAUUCUCUGUUUGAAUGGAGGCUUCUAAGGAAUUACCACAGUCUCACACACAAUCGACUUAAAUGCAUUCUUUAUCUUUAAAAGGAAGCAGAAUAGGAUCAUUGAGUAAAUCACAUGUGUUCACAGUCUUGUCUGGUGUAAUCGUAUACUACACAAACACAUUAUUCUGUAGUCAGGAGGGGAAGGGGACAUUUGAAGCAGGACUUGCCCUUGAGGAGGCCUUUUUCUGUUUAAAGUAUAGUGCAGUGAAAGACCACACAGUAGAAGAUAACAAAAUAUCUUCCAUGCCACCCCCACUUUUUCAUUUUCUCAUUCUCCUUUGUUCUCUAAGGACAUCUGUUGAAAUGAUUAUUCUGUAAAACUCAUAGGUACCUAGCAGAAGCCAUAUCAUAUUUCAUUUAUUAUUUUGUCUACUUAAUUAUUGUUUUCUUUUAUAUCAUGCAAUUGUGGGUUUUAAAAAUAUUCUGUUUAUAAAAGAU